GAUUUAACGAAAAGAGGAGGUGGCAAAUAACAAAAAACUACGCGUGGGGUAAGAAGGAGCACCCAAACAAAAAAAUUUAUGAAUGGAAAUAAGGGUUCUGGUGGAGAUUUAUGAGCAUCCAAGUGGAUUUUAAAGAAGGGAUCAUGUUGGCGGCCCUGGGCCAGAAAACCAAGCCGAUCGGCUGAAAAUCGGCGGCUAGCCGCCGCUGACAAAUUUUUCAUUACCACGCCGCCGCCGACUAGAAUCGGCUUAAAAGCUGAGCAGGCUCAAAGAAAGCCGCCGAUUAUCAUCUGCGGCGCUGAAACCAUUUAUGUGUGUAGCAAUGUUUUAUUUACACAUUUGUAUUUUUAUACCCUUCACCUUCGUGAGAGAUACUAGUAUAUAAGUUUGUCAUUCCGUUUGUAAUUUCCACAAUAUAAUUUUUCGACCCUAUAAAGUAUAUGGGGCAUUUCAUGUCAAGUGAACCAACUUUUGAAAUCGAUGUCUUCCGAUCGGGAUGAAAUUUGCACCAAGGUUAGCUCUAUUGGAUAGUAACUCAGACACAAUUUUUCAACAACAUCGGUCGAGAACUCUCUGAGUUAUAUUUUGACAAUUUGGUCAAACAGGGGUUUUUUCU
Calliphora vicina (urban bluebottle blowfly) is the source of this 616-nucleotide long non-coding RNA. RefSeq lists it as uncharacterized. NCBI's taxonomy places the organism in Eukaryota, Metazoa, Arthropoda, Insecta, Diptera, Calliphoridae. The record is from RefSeq and is a predicted model, not a curated record. The transcript has 3 exons.